CGGUGCCUGCACCUCGAGGUCCAGCAAACCGAAAUCUCGAAUUCACAGUCGUCGUACCAUUCCGGUCUCCUCUGGAGGCAGAGAUUGCGCGCAGUUUCCUGGCCAUGGAUUUACCGAGCUGCGAGGAAGAGAUUGAUAUGCAGUUGACGGUUCAGGGCAGCGUCAUGACUGUCAGGUGGAGUGAAGAAGACAUUUUUGUGUUACGAAUUUACACCAACUGUUUCCUGAAACAACUUAGCCUGGUGAAACGCCAUCUUGCCAGCUUUGCACCUCCAGAUCUGCGAAACCCUGAAGGGCAAAGGGGGGCUGAUGCCUAAGCUUCCUUCCAAACGUACCCAGUGUUUCCUUCCCAGAGCACUGAUUGCUUCAAUCGUUUGCCACUAUGAGCCUGUUUGCCUGAAUUAGACCUUGAACGUGGAGGACCCACUCCUUUGGUUUUCUUGUUUGGGAGGGAAGAGGGCGCUUCAUUGUUUGUCACUGCAGAAAAUAAAACCGAGCUGCAACAUUUCGUCCUGAUAUUUGAGGGGAGGUUCUGGGACUCAGAUUUCCAAUUAAUUCAAUAGAAUUGAGGACAAUUGGAGAACCAAAGUUCAUUUUUUUCUGAAAUGUGUUCUGUCAUUCAGCAUUCACCACUGAAAACAUUUUGGAAUUGAUUUUCCUUUGUAUAUUUGCAUGUAUGUAUUAGUGAGCGCACCU
Molecule: long non-coding RNA, 696 nt
Organism: Echinops telfairi (small Madagascar hedgehog)
Lineage: Eukaryota; Metazoa; Chordata; Mammalia; Afrosoricida; Tenrecidae
Exons: 3
Source: RefSeq, a predicted model, not a curated record